RNAcentral lists this ribosomal RNA (279 nucleotides) under uncultured bacterium. RNAcentral's name for it is "partial 16S ribosomal RNA". It matches the Rfam family "Bacterial small subunit ribosomal RNA", at positions 506 to 784 of the family's 1533-position model. The record is from RNAcentral.
UGCCAGCCGCCGCGGUAAUACGGGGGGUGCAAGCGUUGCUCGGAAUCACUGGGCGUAAAGCGUACGCAGGCGGCCUAUUAAGUCGGAUGUGAAAGCCCCGGGCUCAACCCGGGAAUUGCAUUCGAAACUGGUAGGCUUGAGUGUGAGAGAGGGAAGUGGAAUUCCAGGUGUAGAGGUGAAAUUCGUUGAUAUCUGGAGGAACACCGGCGGCGAAGGCGGCUUCCUGGCUCACAACUGACGCUCAUGUACGAAAGCGUGGGUAGCAAACAGGAUUAGAUA